RNAcentral lists this long non-coding RNA (420 nucleotides) under Vitis vinifera (wine grape). RNAcentral's name for it is "long non-coding RNA (VVIN_LNC004804)". The record is from RNAcentral. Lineage: Eukaryota; Viridiplantae; Streptophyta; Magnoliopsida; Vitales; Vitaceae.
AGAGAGAGAGAGAGAGAGAGAGAGAUGCACAUGACAUGUUUAUGAAGAAGACGUAAUGGGCUGGCAUGGGAGGGUUAGGUCAUGGAAGGGUUAGAGUCAACACCUACUCUCUGUACAAAUACGAAAAUGAUGAAGAAAAAACUGAUGGUGGUAGCAACAGAAAGUCAUGGGCAUAUGAACAAGAUUUGGCCAUCAUCACCAUCCUUUUCAAGUCUGCAAUGAUUCCACAUAUAUUUCCAAAGCUUUUGUGCCUUAUCUCCUUAUUUUCGUGGCCCUCAUGAUUCCACAGUUAGCACAAAGUCUUUCGAGGUUUCUGGGUCAGUCUUUUUUUAACUCAAUUCAUAAAUUGAAAAGAAAAAUCACAUGUAACAAACUGAUAUGAUUGUUUCAAAUAAGAAUGAUGAUGAAUUUAUUGGAGCA